RNAcentral lists this ribosomal RNA (508 nucleotides) under uncultured bacterium. RNAcentral describes it as "partial 16S ribosomal RNA". It matches the Rfam family "Bacterial small subunit ribosomal RNA", at positions 28 to 523 of the family's 1533-position model. The record is from RNAcentral.
GAUGAACGCUAGCCACAGGCUUAACACAUGCAAGUCGAGGGGAAACGAUAGAGAAAGCUUGCUUUUUCUAGGCGUCGACCGGCGCACGGGUGAGUAACGCGUAUCCAACCUGCCCACCACUUGGGGAUAACCUUGCGAAAGUAAGACUAAUACCCAAUGAUAUCUCAAGAAGACAUCUGAAUGAGAUUAAAGAUUUAUCGGUGAUGGAUGGGGAUGCGUCUGAUUAGCUUGUUGGCGGGGUAACGGCCCACCAAGGCGACGAUCAGUAGGGGUUCUGAGAGGAAGGUCCCCCACAGUGGAACUGGGACACGGUCCAAGCUCCUACGGGAGGCAGCAGUGAGGAAUAUUGGUCAAUGGGCUAGAGCCUGAACCAGCCAAGUAGCGUGCAGGAUGACGGCCCUAUGGGUUGUAAACUGCUUUUAUAAGGGAAUAAAGUGAGUCUCGUGAGACUUUUUGCAUGUACCUUAUGAAUAAGGACCGGCUAAUUCCGUGCCAGCAGCCGCCGUAA